This 436-nucleotide ribosomal RNA is filed under the name Bacillus cereus. RNAcentral's name for it is "bacterial SSU rRNA". Lineage: Bacteria; Bacillati; Bacillota; Bacilli; Caryophanales; Bacillaceae. The record is from RNAcentral.
GAUGAUAUCGUAYGUCUGACGGAGCACGCCGCGUGAGUGGAUGAAGGCUUUCGGGUCGUAAAACUCUGUUGUUAGGGAAGAACAAGUGCUAGUUGAAUAAGCUGGCACCUUGACGGUACCUAACCAGAAAGCCACGGCUAACUACGUGCCAGCAGCCGCGGUAAUACGUAGGUGGCAAGCGUUAUCCGGAAUUAUUGGGCGUAAAGCGCGCGCAGGUGGUUUCUUAAGUCUGAUGUGAAAGCCCACGGCUCAACCGUGGAGGGUCAUUGGAAACUGGGAGACUUGAGUGCAGAAGAGGAAAGUGGAAUUCCAUGUGUAGCGGUGAAAUGCGUAGAGAUAUGGAGGAACACCAGUGGCGAAGGCGACUUUCUGGUCUGUAACUGACACUGAGGCGCGAAAGCGUGGGGAGCAAACAGGAUUAGAUCCCCCUGGUAGA